AUCCCGUAGUACAAUAGAACUGCCUUUGUUGCAAGUGGGUUUGGGAAGGGCAUACAUUGAAGUUCUGGUGGCAAAUAACCAAAGCAAAAAUGUCUUGCAUGUACAGAGUAUUUCCUCAUGGGCUCCUAGUUGCAUUGGACCAUAUAGCCAGGCAACUUUGCAUAAGGAGAUGCUUCACAUGGCUGGGCAAUUGGGGCUUGAUCCUCCCACAAUGACCAUAUGCAGUGGAGGCCCUGCUGCUGAGCUGGAACAAGCACUAGAAAACAGUGAAGCAGUGGCAAAAUGCUUCAACUGUUCAAUAUGUACCUCUGCUAUUCUCUUAACCGUUUACUGUUCAAAACACAUUCCUUUGUCCGAGAGACUUAAGAUUCAGGACAAGCAGGACUCUUUUAUUAAACAUAU
This 402-nucleotide unclassified non-coding RNA is filed under the name Hevea brasiliensis (rubber tree). The record is from RNAcentral. Lineage: Eukaryota; Viridiplantae; Streptophyta; Magnoliopsida; Malpighiales; Euphorbiaceae.